CCGGACUGUUGCCAGGAAACCAAUGACGCCACUUGGAUAUCAAGGAUACUAUGCCCUCCUCUGGCGACGAAGUGCUACAGUUUGCAUUCAGGUUCAAAAAUAAGAAACCUGAAGAAUUUUGAGGGUGUGUGUGGAAUGUCAAAGUUACACCUCACCAAUAACCGCCCCUGCUGCACCCAGAAGCUGAAUGAAAGGUUUGAUUUCUUUGUCAGGAUGGCUUUCAUUACAUUACACCCCCUAUGUUUACAACAAAGCAACAGGACAGGGCACAUUUCUAUGAAGCCAGACACAUUUAUACCCAUGUCUGCUCACUUUGCAACUCCGGAGUCAAAUUAAUCAACAUACACUUGGGAGCACAUUUGGUGCUUGGUCAUAGUGGGUCAUUAUUCUUUCUUGCUACUAAAGGGAGGGGGGACAGGAGCACAGUACCUUUCAGUCUUAAUCAGAGUCAGACGAAGAGCCUGAGGAAGACCCACUCCCACCAUCCUUGUGUUUAUGUUUCUUCCCUUUUCCCUUCUUGUGGCCCUUGCCAUGCUUGUGGCCCUCGCCGUGCUUGUGUCCCUCGCCGUGCUUGUGGCCCUCGCCGUGCUUGUGGCCCUCGCCGUGCUUGUGGCCCUUGCCAUGCUUGUGGUCCUUGUCCUUAUCGUGGUCCUUGUCUUUAUCAUGGUCCUUGUCUU
Anguilla anguilla (European eel) is the source of this 677-nucleotide long non-coding RNA. RefSeq lists it as uncharacterized. NCBI's taxonomy places the organism in Eukaryota, Metazoa, Chordata, Actinopteri, Anguilliformes, Anguillidae. The transcript is spliced from 2 exons. The record is from RefSeq and is a predicted model, not a curated record.